AAAAGGAAUAGCAUAAUUUAAGAUAAGAAGAGAAAUUGUAUGUGAAAGCUGUGCAAUCAUGUUUUUUGAAAUUACAUGUUAAGAAAAAGUCAAAUUUAUGAUUUCUUUUUUAUACAUAAUUGUGUACCUGUGUAUCGGUCCCUUUUUUUCUUCUUUUCUUUUUUUUGUGAUCUGUUUCUGGGUAGAAGAUAUAGUGGCUUAGGAGAAUCUAGAUCUUUUGUGGGGGCAAAUCUGUGGUGUAAAGCUGAUAUAUUAUGAUGAAAAUGAGGCAGAUAUUUGGAUAGAGAUGAAGGGAAUUAGGAUAGAUAAUUGGGUAGAACAGAAAGGCAUUUGGGCAAAUAACGAUGUUUUUGGAAAGAUAUUUGAGUAUGGGGUUUUGACAUGAUAUUUGUGAAGCAUUUUGACAGAUUGAUGCUAACCAUCUUUUCGUUAUGUACUGCUAUACAUGCUUGUUAUAAGAAGAUCAAAAUGUACAUAUUUGUCGUGCGAAGUCUUUGAAAUAUCUUUAUUGUAGAGGAAUGAUCAAGAAAGAAAUCUAGGUAUCUGAUUAGAUUGUUACAUUUUAUUGGGAAAUUAUUCUGGCUAUAUUAAUUAUUGAUAACAUCUCAGUGGCUGGUUUGUCAAAGACCUGUUUAUAUAGACAUUUAAUGCUUAAGUUGAUGGGAGAGUUUGGUUUCAUUUGUGAUGGAGAAACAAAGACUCUCUAAAGAUAGUCUUGAUGUUAGUUUUUGCCUAAAUGACUAAGUUAAAAAAACACAGAAAGGGUAUUUUAUUGGGAUGUUUUCUUCCAUUCUGCCAUUUGAAUUUAAUACAUUUGAAGAAAAAUAAGUUCCACAGCUUAAUUCUCUCUCAUUUGGCAUUCAUUGGUUCUAUGGCUUUGCUGAUAAAGGGCAGCUGACUUGUAUUAUUGCAGUAUAUGAUCCUUGAUAACUGAGAUUUUAGACAACCUCUGAUUAUGCCUUUUAGUUCUAGCUGCUAGGAAGAGGUGGCAAAGCAUUCUGCUGAGAUGUUAAUUUUCCCUUAAAGGAAAGUAAUUGCAAAAGUAUCUUCUAUACCUAGUUAAGUGAUAAAAGUUUGAAUUUUGUGAAUAUGAAUAGAAAGACAAAAUGAAACAAUUUUUUUUUGUUUGUUUGUUUGUUAAGGUCCAUAUCAACAAGCAGGACUUGUUUGCUCCAAAGAGGGUGCGUAUAUAUAUGACGUAUCUUGAAACUUGUUUCCUGAUAUUGUUUACAUCAGUCAGGACUACCUUUAUUUUCACAGUGCUUUAUGCUUACAUUAGUACAUUUUAGAUAUGCUUCCUAAGAGACCAGUUCAUGCAUUACUUUACUUUACUUUACUUUUUUAUUUUCUUUUACUCCAAACCAUGGUGGUUCAUUCAGAAAAACCUGUCUGGUUCCGUGCUUUUCAUACUAAUUUCAUACUACUAAGUUUCAUACUUCAACAACUCUUGAGUUUUAUUCUCAGUGUUGAUAAAAAAAAUCAAGUGAAAUUAUUUUAUUUAUAUAAGAAUAUGAAAAGAGUGAUUGGUGCAGUGAUUAUGCAUUUUGUUUCACAUACUUUGAGAAGUGAUGCAAACUCUAUUCAGCAUCCUCAAAGUUAUUUUGUAUUCGUUCACCAUUUUCAGCAUUAUAUUAUAUCCAUUUAUCGCAUCAAUUUCAAAUUAUCAUAAUGUACUAACUUGUCUAUCAUAUUUCAUAUGUUAAGCAUAUCUUUUUGUUUAUUUUAGAUUUUUCUAAAAGUCUGAGAUUACCAUGUUUAACUCCAUUCAAAAUUAUUUUUCCAAUUUCUAGAUUAUUUUUCAUUCAUUCAGUUCUAUUUUUCAUUUCAUGUAAAAAAAAAUUCAUCCACGCGACUUCAUUUUCACCCAUUCAAUGUUAUUUCGACGUCCAGCUUCCCGAGGACCGGCUGGAGCCCACACAGCAAGUGCUCAAUCGUUAAAAAGAGAGAGAGAGAGAGGAGGGAGUGGGGUUGAGAAGACUUGGUGGGUCCCCUGGCUCCCAGCGCCCCCUACACACCCCUCCAGGCCGUGCCCCCUCCUGGCAUGGCGGGCCUGCACUCCCCCCCACUCACCUCCUCCCCCCGCCACCACCAGGUCUCCCCCAGGCAGGGCCCCCACGGUGCAGGCAGGGGCCUCGCUUCGGGGGGCACGGGGGACACCUCCUCCCCAGCUCGACGGCUACGUGAUUUUGAUGUGCGAGCGGAGAUGGAAAAGCACAAAUUCAAUCUCUCCAUCGAUGACUGAGGUCCAUGCAGCUAGCAACUUUUUUUUUCUUAAUCAAUCAUUUUUAUUUUGUCUGCUUGGUUGUUUCAUGAAAUUAUGAAUUAAAAGCUGAUUUUUUUUUUAAGGUAAGGUAAGAUAGAGUGAAGCCAGUUUUCAAUUCAAAAUUUUCUUUUGUAUGCUGAAUCACUUGCCAUUUUUAGGUUUCUUAUCUUUCUUUCUUUUCUUUUCUUUUUCUUUUUUUAAGGAGAGGUUAUGUUAUGUUAUAUAUAAUUAGAAUUUUCUUUUCCCUUGUUUCUUUCUUCCAAAAUCUCAGCAUUUGUGACAGAAGUAGCCCACAGCCUUUUUAUUUCAACAUAGCUCUCAGAGUUUUACAACAUUCAUGCCAGAUAUAUAUAAACACAUCCCUAUAUCUAUACACAUUAAUAGUAUUAUCAUUAUAUGAACUAUCUUGACUGGUUAAAAUACCCGUAUCCAAAUGCUUCCUUCAUUUAGUAAGUGGAUAAUUCUCCUGCUUGUGCCUGUUUCCAAAGUAUUCAGAUGUGAUAAGGUUUCCCUUUUGUUUCCUCAUUUUUAUGUAGAAUAGGCAUUGUAUUGUGUUAACAGGAGACAGGUUUAAAAAAAAUACUCGUUAUCUUCGUAUUAAUGACUUUUUUUUUCUCACUUCUUUUUUAUUCAUUGUGUCUCUCCUGUUUGACACCAUGUACAGAAUGCAGUUGACGUACAUACAUACAUAUAUAUCUUUGAGAAGGAUUCUUAAAUAUGUUCUGUAUAUGCAAUGCUUUGUUGAUUGUAUAGAAAAAUAUUGCUUCAAGUACUCUAGACUGGGCCCUUAAUUGUUAGUUGAUUUUGGUAAAAUAAAUGAAAAAAAGGGGCUGUGAAAAAGCAAAAUUGUGUUGGGGUUCUUUAUAAUAGCAAAAUAUUUCUUGUAUAUGUCCAUUGUAGCAUGGUAAGAUGUCCUCUGUAUGUUACUUGUAAAUAAAAGAAUUUAAAGUAAA
Long non-coding RNA from Penaeus indicus, 3216 nucleotides. RefSeq lists it as uncharacterized. The transcript has 2 exons. The record is from RefSeq and is a predicted model, not a curated record. Lineage: Eukaryota; Metazoa; Arthropoda; Malacostraca; Decapoda; Penaeidae.